RNAcentral lists this ribosomal RNA (497 nucleotides) under uncultured bacterium. RNAcentral's name for it is "partial 16S ribosomal RNA". It matches the Rfam family "Bacterial small subunit ribosomal RNA", at positions 28 to 507 of the family's 1533-position model. The record is from RNAcentral.
GAUGAACGCUGGCGGCGUGCCUAAUACAUGCAAGUCGAGCGAACAGACGAGGAGCUUGCUCCUCUGACGUUAGCGGCGGACGGGUGAGUAACACGUGGAUAACCUACCUAUAAGACUGGGAUAACUUCGGGAAACCGGAGCUAAUACCGGAUAAUAUAUUAAACCGCAUGGUUCAAUAGUGAAAGACGGUUUUGCUGUCACUUAUAGAUGGAUCCGCGCCGCAUUAGCUAGUUGGUAAGGUAACGGCUUACCAAGGCAACGAUGCGUAGCCGACCUGAGAGGGUGAUCGGCCAAACUGGAACUGAGACACGGUCCAGGCUCCUACGGGAGGCAGCAGUAGGGAAUCUUCCGCAAUGGGCGAAAGCCUGACGGAGCAACGCCGCGUGAGUGAUGAAGGUCUUCGGAUCGUAAAACUCUGUUAUUAGGGAAGAACAAAUGUGUAAGUAACUAUGCACGUCUUGACGGUACCUAAUCAGAAAGCCACGGCUAACUACGUG